This 253-nucleotide ribosomal RNA is filed under the name uncultured bacterium. Its description in RNAcentral is "partial 16S ribosomal RNA". It matches the Rfam family "Bacterial small subunit ribosomal RNA", at positions 524 to 776 of the family's 1533-position model. The record is from RNAcentral.
UACGGGGGGGGCAAGCGUUGUUCGGAAUUACUGGGCGUAAAGGGCUCGUAGGCGGCCAACUAAGUCAGACGUGCAAUCCCUCGGCUUAACCGGGGAACUGCGUCUGAUACUGGAUGGCUUGAGUUUGGGAGAGGGAUGCGGAAUUCCAGGUGUAGCGGUGAAAUGCGUAGAUAUCUGGAGGAACACCGGUGGCGAAGGCGGCAUCCUGGACCAACACUGACGCUGAGGAGCGAAAGCCAGGGGAGCAAACGGG